RNAcentral lists this ribosomal RNA (253 nucleotides) under uncultured bacterium. RNAcentral's name for it is "partial 16S ribosomal RNA". It matches the Rfam family "Bacterial small subunit ribosomal RNA", at positions 524 to 776 of the family's 1533-position model. The record is from RNAcentral.
UACGUAGGGGGCAAGCGUUGUCCGGAUUUAUUGGGCGUAAAGAGCGUGUAGGCGGCUUUACAGGUCCGUUGUGAAAACUCGAGGCUCAACCUCGAGACGCCGGUGGAAACCGUAAGGCUAGAGUCCGGAAGAGGAGAGUGGAAUUCCCGGUGUAGCGGUGAAAUGCGCAGAUAUCAGGAGGAACACCGAUGGCGAAGGCAGGUCUCUGGGCCACUACUGACGCUGAGAAGCGAAAGCAUGGGGAGCGAACAGG